GACAGAGGGUGCAAACGUUGUUCGGAAUUAUUGGGCGUAAAGAGCUCGUAGGCGGUCUGUCGCGUCUGCUGUGAAAACCCGAGGCUCAACCUCGGGCUUGCAGUGGGUACGGGCAGACUAGAGUGCGGUAGGGGAGAAUGGAAUUCCUGGUGUAGCGGUGGAAUGCGCAGAUAUCAGGAGGAACACCGAUGGCGAAGGCAGUUCUCUGGGCCGUAACUGACGCUGAGGAGCGAAAGCGUGGGGAGCGAACAGG
Molecule: ribosomal RNA, 253 nt
Filed under: uncultured bacterium
Lineage: Bacteria
Description: partial 16S ribosomal RNA
Rfam family: Bacterial small subunit ribosomal RNA
Source: RNAcentral